GUGAGAACUCUCUUUUGGAAGUGGAUGAAGUAUUGUGUAAAUAUUCCUCAGUUUUAUCAAUACUAAUCUGAAAGCCAAACAUUGGCUUGCACAUUACUGCUUUUCCACGAUGUUCUCCAUUCACAAAUGAGGAAACAGAUGCAGAACCAUGAAACCAUUUGCCCAAGGCUAUAAAGGAGCAUUACGGGAUCUGAGUUUCCUUGCCCCUAGUCCCAUACAUAGACUAGUAGAUCACAGACAACAGUUAGUGAGCAUUAAGUACCUCCCAACACCAAAAAGAGAAGUUGAGGUUGAUAUUCUUACUGUGUGAUCCUUUUUGCUGCAAAUGGGCCCAGGUAGAUAGAAUAGGCUCAGGUUUAGCUGCUUUGAAAACUGUGACAAACUAAGUACAUGAUCAAAAAGAGAGAAAGUGAGAAAGAAAGAGAGAAAGUAAAAGCCCGUUGUCACACACAGGAAAAAUAAUCCAUGUUCUUUUUUGUAACAGACUUGACAGGUCUGUAAUAAGAAAUAUUUCAUUAGUGCUGUAAAGCUCAUUGUCAGCAAAUGUUGUAGAGUAAAAUAAAUGGGAAUUAAAAUUAAUUCUUCAUUAAGUUUUGAUGAAGACUCUGUCCUUGAGCUGUAAAUCCAGGGCAAUUCUGUUCUAGAGAACCAUUAUUAACCUGUGGGCCCUCCUGGUUGUCUGGGAGAUGUAUAUGAUGUACUGCUGACGGAAUAUGUGCUUAUGCAUCCCACUGUUACCAUGCUCAUCUCCAUAGGAACCAUCUGCAUCACAGUCUUGGUGGGUUUCUCAUGCCACUCUGCUGAAAUCAUUGAGACCUGUGCGUGCAAGCCAGAGUUUAAUUUCUUCUACCUCUUCCCAGAACACUUAUCUUCAAGGAUGGGCUUGAAUAUGCCCAGUACAACCAAGAGGGGUGGCAGCAAGAAGAGCCAUGCCCAAGUACUCGAGAGACAGAGAAAAGUGCUCUGAAGCUGAAGGAAAACACUGACUAAAAGAAAAAUUGGUGUAAAAUUGACCAUUAAUAUAUUUAAGCUGGCGAUUAGAAACAAGUUCCAUUAAAUCAACUCCCUGAUGGGGCUGAAAAGAAGAGAGAAAAACUGACUCGAAGAUAGAGCUUGGUACUGUGAAGAGGAGGAUAUGAGGUGCUGCUUUUGAUUACAGGCAGCUCAAUGUGCUGACCCACGAGACCCCUUUCAACCUCACGCUACUGUGUUCUCCAACGCUGUCAUUGCCUUCAUCAUUACAAGUGGAAAUUGAGGGCACUCAGCACUGACUGGUCCUAGAUCCCUGUGCAGCAAAGAGCUCUAAGGCUCAAAUUUGCUUUUCUCAAUUGCUGAAAGUAUUGGCUCAACAGAACCAGAAA
RNAcentral lists this long non-coding RNA (1361 nucleotides) under Anser brachyrhynchus (Pink-footed goose). RNAcentral's name for it is "lncRNA (ENSABRG00000013646.1)". The record is from RNAcentral. Lineage: Eukaryota; Metazoa; Chordata; Aves; Anseriformes; Anatidae.